Molecule: ribosomal RNA, 515 nt
Filed under: uncultured bacterium
Lineage: Bacteria
Description: partial 16S ribosomal RNA
Rfam family: Bacterial small subunit ribosomal RNA
Source: RNAcentral
GAUGAACGCUGGCGGCGUGCCUAAUACAUGCAAGUCGAGCGAAUGGAUUAAGAGCUUGCUCUUAUGAAGUUAGCGGCGGACGGGUGAGUAACACGUGGGUAACCUGCCCAUAAGACUGGGAUAACUCCGGGAAACCGGGGCUAAUACCGGAUAACAUUUUGAACCGCAUGGUUCGAAAUUGAAAGGCGGCUUCGGCUGUCACUUAUGGAUGGACCCGCGUCGCAUUAGCUAGUUGGUGAGGUAACGGCUCACCAAGGCAACGAUGCGUAGCCGGCGUGAGAGGGUGAUGGGCCACACUGGGACGGAGACACGGCCCAGACUCCUACGGGAGGCAGCAGUAGGGAAUCUUCCGCAAUGGACGAAAGUCUGACGGAGCAACGCCGCGUGAGUGAUGAAGGCUUUCGGGUCGUAAAACUCUGUUGUUAGGGAAGAACAAGUGCUAGUUGAAUAAGCUGGCACCUUGACGGUACCUAACCAGAAAGCCACGGCUAACUACGUGCCAGCCGCCGCCGUAA